Molecule: ribosomal RNA, 433 nt
Filed under: uncultured bacterium
Lineage: Bacteria
Description: partial 16S ribosomal RNA
Rfam family: Bacterial small subunit ribosomal RNA
Source: RNAcentral
AACGAACGCUGGCGGCAGGCCUAACACAUGCAAGUCGAGCGCGCCCUUCGGGGUGAGCGGCGGACGGGUGAGUAACGCGUGGGAACGUGCCCUUUUCUACGGAAUAGCCUCGGGAAACUGAGAGUAAUACCGUAUACGCCCUUUGGGGGAAAGAUCUAUCGGAAAAGGAUCGGCCCGCGUUGGAUUAGGUAGUUGGUGGGGUAAUGGCCUACCAAGCCGACGAUCCAUAGCUGGUUUGUGAGGAUGAUCAGCCACACUGGGACUGAGACACGGCCCAGACUCCUACGGGGGGCAGCAGUGGGGAAUCUUAGACGAGGGGGGCAACCGUGAUCUAGCCAUGCCGCGUGAGUGAUGAAGGCCUUAGGAUUGUAAAGCUCUUUCAGCUGGGAAGAUAGUGACGGUACCGGCAGAAGAAGCCCCGGCUAACUCCGUG